UCAUCAGAUGUAUCUGCCAGUGAUAUUUCUCACCCUACUAAUUUGCAAGGAUUGAAGGAAUCCAGCAGGCUUGGUAGGUAUCUCGUUCCUCUCUCUCAACUAUUGCCUUUGCUCCUCUUCAAGGUGUGUCCUCUGUAGAAGAAGAAAACUGAAGGAGGAUAUCCUCUGGUCCAAGGCCUGCAAGUAUUUGUUACUCCUUUACCAGAACAUUUACUCCAUGUCCUUUGACAGGGGAAAGUAGGCAGUCAAAAAUACAACAAAAUUCUAGAGAUGGCACUAGAAUUCCUUUGAAAAAUAAAACUGUCUUUGUUG
Unclassified non-coding RNA from Rhinopithecus roxellana (golden snub-nosed monkey), 312 nucleotides. Its record names the gene 7SK. It matches the Rfam family "7SK RNA". From Rfam's summary of the family: 7SK was discovered as an abundant small nuclear RNA in the mid-70s but a possible function has only recently been suggested. Two independent studies have found that 7SK RNA binds the CDK9/cyclin T complex (known as elongation factor P-TEFb). The record is from Ensembl. Lineage: Eukaryota; Metazoa; Chordata; Mammalia; Primates; Cercopithecidae.